This 245-nucleotide ribosomal RNA is filed under the name uncultured bacterium. Its description in RNAcentral is "partial 16S ribosomal RNA". It matches the Rfam family "Bacterial small subunit ribosomal RNA", at positions 524 to 768 of the family's 1533-position model. The record is from RNAcentral.
UACAGAGGUGGCGAGCGUUGUUCGGAUUUACUGGGCGUAAAGGGUGCGUAGGCGGUUCUGUGUGUCGAACGUGAAAUACCACCGCUCAACGGUGGAACGGCAUUCGAAACUACAGAACUAGAGUGCAGACGGGGAGAGCGGAAUUCCUGGUGUAGCGGUGAAAUGCGUUGAGAUCAGGAAGAACACCGGUGGCGAAGGCGGCUCUCUGGGAUGCAACUGACGCUGAGGCACGAAAGCUGGGGGAG